Molecule: ribosomal RNA, 254 nt
Filed under: uncultured bacterium
Lineage: Bacteria
Description: partial 16S ribosomal RNA
Rfam family: Bacterial small subunit ribosomal RNA
Source: RNAcentral
UACGUAGGGUGCGAGCGUUGUCCGGAAUUAUUGGGCGUAAAGGGCGCGUAGGCGGUUGGGUAAGUCGGGUGUGAAAACUCAGGGCUCAACUCUGAGACGCCACUCGAUACUGCUCUGACUCGAGUCCGGUAGGGGAGCGUGGAAUUCCCGGUGUAGCGGUGAAAUGCGCAGAUAUCGGGAGGAACACCAGUGGCGAAGGCGGCGCUCUGGGCCGGAACUGACGCUGAGGAGCGAAAGCGUGGGUAGCAAACAGG